AUGAACGCUGGCGGCGUGCCUAAUACAUGCAAGUCGAGCGAACAGACGAGGAGCUUGCUCCUCUGACGUUAGCGGCGGACGGGUGAGUAACACGUGGAUAACCUACCUAUAAGACUGGGAUAACUUCGGGAAACCGGAGCUAAUACCGGAUAAUAUAUUGAACCGCAUGGUUCAAUAGUGAAAGACGGUUUUGCUGUCACUUAUAGAUGGAUCCGCGCCGCAUUAGCUAGUUGGUAAGGUAACGGCUUACCAAGGCGACGAUGCGUAGCCGACCUGAGAGGGUGAUCGGCCACACUGGAACUGAGACACGGUCCAGACUCCUACGGGAGGCAGAAGUAGGGAAUCUUCCGCAAUGGGCGAAAGCCUGACGGAGCAACGCCGCGUGAGUGAUGAAGGUCUUCGGAUCGUAAAACUCUGUUAUUAGGGAAGAACAAAUGUGUAAGUAACUAUGCACGUCUUGACGGUACCUAAUCAGAAAGCCACGGCUAACUACGUG
This 496-nucleotide ribosomal RNA is filed under the name uncultured bacterium. Its description in RNAcentral is "partial 16S ribosomal RNA". It matches the Rfam family "Bacterial small subunit ribosomal RNA", at positions 29 to 507 of the family's 1533-position model. The record is from RNAcentral.